AAAUUGAAGAGUUUGAUCAUGGCUCAGAUUGAACGCUGGCGGCAGGCCUAACACAUGCAAGUCGAACGGUAACAGGAAGAAGCUUGCUUCUUUGCUGACGAGUGGCGGACGGGUGAGUAAUGUCUGGGAAACUGCCUGAUGGAGGGGGAUAACUACUGGAAACGGUAGCUAAUACCGCAUAACGUCGCAAGACCAAAGAGGGGGACCUUCGGGCCUCUUGCCAUCGGAUGUGCCCAGAUGGGAUUAGCUAGUAGGUGGGGUAAAGGCUCACCUAGGCGACGAUCCCUAGCUGGUCUGAGAGGAUGACCAGCCACACUGGAACUGAGACACGGUCCAG
This 337-nucleotide ribosomal RNA is filed under the name Escherichia coli. RNAcentral describes it as "bacterial SSU rRNA". It matches the Rfam family "Bacterial small subunit ribosomal RNA", at positions 1 to 334 of the family's 1533-position model. The record is from RNAcentral. Lineage: Bacteria; Pseudomonadati; Pseudomonadota; Gammaproteobacteria; Enterobacterales; Enterobacteriaceae.